This is a long non-coding RNA of Marmota monax (woodchuck), 2286 nucleotides long. RefSeq lists it as uncharacterized. The transcript is spliced from 2 exons. NCBI's taxonomy places the organism in Eukaryota, Metazoa, Chordata, Mammalia, Rodentia, Sciuridae. The record is from RefSeq and is a predicted model, not a curated record.
GGUUUAAGUGUGCAGAGUUUAGCUCCCUCAGGCCUGACAUUUUGCAAAAGCUGUGGCUGUGAUUUAGGUCAGCUGAGGCAAACCUCAGCUAGGAGGAGGAAAAGUUCUCUUCCCCUUAUCACAAGCAACAAGUUCUGCAUGGUUUGGCCAAGAGGAAGAAGCUUCCUGCAUACUUAUCCUGGGAACAGUACAUUCUGAAGAAACAAAUGCAUCCUCAGAGGACUAGAUAAUGUCUACAAAGAACUUUAGGAGGGUACUUAUCAAACAAACAGGAACAAUUUGAAUCUAGCUCUGUGUAUCCUCUGAGGCAUGAUAUUUGGACAAUGUGGGUAAAGUGUUAUUGAAGAAUUGCUUGCUUUGUUAGAAGAAGUGUAUAAAAGGAACUUGCAAAUAAACUUCAGCAUGCAGUUGCGAUUGCUGCCUUGGCUCUGCAUCCCCUGUGUCCUGGUUAUUUAGCGACCCUUACCCAGGGACCCGAACGCUCUAGACGUUCACAAUUGGCACUGGAAUAGGGACCCUGCUGGAUUGAUAGGAAGGAAUCCCGCCAAAAGAGAGAUGGAAUGAAACCAUUCGGAACGACAAAUUGAUGGCCUGGGGUGAUGGCAGAAUUGCUGAUCCACGCUUGGCUUCAAUGCAGUACCCUCAUCAUUUACAAACACAUUUAUGGAAAAUUGCUGCUGCAACUAAACCUGUAAUUUUGUCUAAUGGCUCUUUCUCUGGGACUAGUCAAUCUGCUGCUUCUUAUAAUUUUACUGUAUUUAAAGAAUAUAAUAUAACCACAUGUGUGCCCAUGCCAUACCUGUUCUUAAUUGGAAAUGUUACUUUUGAUGAGGGAAUUUUAUGCUUUAAUUGUAAAUUGUAUACCUGUAUUAAUACAUCUGUUUCUAUUCCUCCUGGUUAUUCCAUUGUGCUGUUACAACAGCGCUCUCACAUUUGGCUUCCUGUAAAUUUACAAAGAACAUGGUCCCAAGAUCCUGUAAAUACUUUGGUUCUGGAAUUUUUUAGACAAUUGUUAAAACGUACUAAACGUUUUGUAGGAGUUGUUGUUGCUGUAAUUCUAAGUCUUAUUGCAGUGACUACAGUCGCUACAGUUUCAGGGAUAGCUUUACAUACUUCUUUACAAACAAAACAUUUUGUUGAGGAAUGGCAUAAAGAUUCGCAUGAGUUAUGGCUAUCCCAGACUCAAAUUGAUUCUAGACUUCAAACUCAAAUAGAUAUUUUAAGACAGACAGUUAAUUGGUUAGGAAAAAAGAUACUCACCUUAGAACAAGAAAUUGGAUUAAAAUGUGACUGGAUGGGGCUGGGGAUGUGGCUCAAGCGGUAGCACGCUCACCUGGCAUGCGUGCGGCCCGGGUUCGAUCCUCAGCACCACAUACAAACAACGAUGUUGUGUCUGCCGAAAAACUAAAAAAUAAAUAUUAAAAUUCUCUCUCUCUUUAAAAAAAAAUUAAAAAAAAAAGUGACUGGAAUUCAACUUCUUUCUGUAUAACUAAUAUACAAUAUAAUCAAAGCUUACACGAAUGGAAUAUCAUACAAAAUUAUCUCAAUGGUAAUGAAACAGCUCAAUUAAUGAUCGAUUCUUUACAAAAGGAUAUAUUUGAAAUUUUUGGAAAAGGGUUUCAACAUGAUGAUGCUGCACAAAUAGCUGAAUUGUUUUUAAAACAGUUAGAAGGAUUAAAUCCCAAAGGAAUUGCUCAAAGUCUUACCCAUAUGGCUGGAGGAGUGGGAAUAGUGUUAUGCUUAGUUAUUAUCCUGUUUAUAUAUUGUAUGUGCAUAAGACCAUCUCAAAACGCUAUAUUAACUUUGUGGAAAGCUGUUUUAGAAAAGCAAAAUUAAAAAGAAGGAAUUGUUGGGGUUUAAGUGUGCAGAGUUUAGCUCCCUCAGGCCUGACAUUUUGCAAAAGCUGUGGCUGUGAUUUAGGUCAGCUGAGGCAAAUCUCAGCUAGGAGGAGGAAAAGUUCUCUUCCCCUUAUCACAAGUAACAAGUUCUGCAUGGUUUGGCCAAGAGGAAGAUGCUUCCUGCAUACUUAUCCUGGGAACAGUACAUUCUGAAGAAACAAAUGCAUCCUCAGAGGACUAGAUAAUGUCUACAAAGAACUUUAGGAGGGUACUUAUCAAACAAACAGGAACAAUUUGAAUCUAGCUCUGUGUAUCCUCUGAGGCAUGAUAUUUGGACAAUGUGGGUAAAGUGUUAUUGAAGAAUUGCUUGCUUUGUUAGAAGAAGUGUAUAAAAGGAACUUGCAAAUAAACUUCAGCAUGCAGUUGCGAUUGCUGCCUUGGCUCUGCA